AUCCCUUUUAGCUUAAUAUAAAGCGUGGAUUUGAAGAAUCUAAGAUUCUUGAGGGAG
This 57-nucleotide transfer RNA is filed under the name Trichinella pseudospiralis. Its description in RNAcentral is "tRNA-Phe". Lineage: Eukaryota; Metazoa; Nematoda; Enoplea; Trichinellida; Trichinellidae. The record is from RNAcentral.